CACUCCUACGGGAGGCAGCAGUGGGGAAUUUUGGACAAUGGGCGAAAGCCUGAUCCAGCCAUGCCGCGUGCAGGAUGAAGGCCUUCGGGUUGUAAACUGCUUUUGUACGGAACGAAACGGCCUUUUCUAAUAAAGAGGGCUAAUGACGGUACCGUAAGAAUAAGCACCGGCUAACUACGUGCCAGCAGCCGCGGUAAUACGUAGGGUGCAAGCGUUAAUCGGACUUACUGGGCGUAAAGCGUGCGCAGGCGGUUAUGUAAGACAGUUGUGAAAUCCCCGGGCUCAACCUGGGAACUGCAUCGGUGACUGCAUAGCUAGAGUACGGUAGAGGGGGAUGGAAUUCCGCGUGUAGCAGUGAAAUGCGUAGAUAUGCGGAGGAACACCGAUGGCGAAGGCAAUCCCCUGGACCUGUACUGACGCUCAUGCACGAAAGCGUGGGGAGCAAACAGGAUUAGAAACCCCAGUAGUCCCAU
This 473-nucleotide ribosomal RNA is filed under the name uncultured organism. RNAcentral's name for it is "partial 16S ribosomal RNA". It matches the Rfam family "Bacterial small subunit ribosomal RNA", at positions 334 to 798 of the family's 1533-position model. The record is from RNAcentral.